Molecule: ribosomal RNA, 492 nt
Filed under: uncultured bacterium
Lineage: Bacteria
Description: partial 16S ribosomal RNA
Rfam family: Bacterial small subunit ribosomal RNA
Source: RNAcentral
AGUGAACGCUGGCGGUAGGCCUAACACAUGCAAGUCGAACGGCAGCACAGUAAGAGCUUGCUCUUACGGGUGGCGAGUGGCGGACGGGUGAGGAAUACAUCGGAAUCUACUUUUUCGUGGGGGAUAACGUAGGGAAACUUACGCUAAUACCGCAUACGACCUACGGGUGAAAGCAGGGGAUCUUCGGACCUUGCGCGAAUGAAUGAGCCGAUGUCGGAUUAGCUAGUUGGCGGGGUAAAGGCCCACCAAGGCGACGAUCCGUAGCUGGUCUGAGAGGAUGAUCAGCCACACUGGAACUGAGACACGGUCCAGACUCCUACGGGAGGCAGCAGUGGGGAAUAUUGGACAAUGGGCGCAAGCCUGAUCCAGCCAUACCGCGUGGGUGAAGAAGGCCUUCGGGUUGUAAAGCCCUUUUGUUGGGAAAGAAAAGCAGCAGGUUAAUACGCCGCUGUUCUGACGGUACCCAAAGAAUAAGCACCGGCUAACUACGUG